CAUCACCACCACCACCACCACCACCACCAUCAUCCCCACCUUUUACAUUAUUUACACACUCACACUCCUUUAUUCCUGUUUACUAAAAGGAAGCUACCAAAAUUUGUAGGGGAGAAAGGUAAAUUCAAAAGUCUAGAUGGUAUACAUAGCCACCAGGGUGAAAACCAAGGCAAACUUCUCAACAGAGACCCCAAGAGACUGGGAACGGGGUCCAUGAGCACAGAACACCUCAUUAAGACAGUUCCUUACCCUCAGCCUCCAGGAUGCUCCAGCCUCAGCUCUUAAGGUACGCUCCUGUACAGCCCCGCCUCCUUACGUCUCAGCAGCCUACCAGUACUUCCCAAGGCUCAGAUGCCGACAGCAGCCCCAGAGCCUCCACCCUAAGCUUCACGUCCUCCAGAGCUAGCCAACAUUUGGUCCUCGGGUCCCAUCCCUACGUCUCCCCCUCACUGCCAUAUCUCUGGGCCUGAUGGACUCACCCCUACGCCUCUAGAGCAGCUUUUCCCCGCCUGACUGUACCCAGCAACUACCUACCACUAAAAGCGGCUACGGCCCGCGUCCCCGCCCCCUGUGCCUCGGCCCUCCAGGCUACAAUUCCCCCUCCGCCCCACCCCUGCAUCUGCCCUGCGGCCCCGCCCCCGGGGCGCCGCCGCAGCCCCUUCUCGCGGCUGCUGCCCGCGCAUCCCUGCAUCCAGUCCCUGCCACGUCGCCCGCUGCGCCCAGCCUGGUCGCCUCCCCGCCUCGGCGGGCAGCCGAGCGAGUCCUGCUGGGGCUGGGGGAGGGGGCCGGUACCUUUAAUUCGCCCAGCUCCGCCAUC
Non-coding RNA from Rattus norvegicus (Norway rat), 817 nucleotides. NCBI's taxonomy places the organism in Eukaryota, Metazoa, Chordata, Mammalia, Rodentia, Muridae. The record is from RefSeq and is a predicted model, not a curated record.